Rattus norvegicus (Norway rat) is the source of this 2941-nucleotide non-coding RNA. The record is from RefSeq and is a predicted model, not a curated record. NCBI's taxonomy places the organism in Eukaryota, Metazoa, Chordata, Mammalia, Rodentia, Muridae.
GUCUUAGCACGUUGCUUGCCUCAGUUUACUCUUUUUCCUUAAAUGGUUUUGGUAAGAUUGUCAGGAAUUGGAUUUCGUGAUCUCGUUCAUUUACACCUCCCUCUCCUCCCGAACCCUCAUUAGAAAUUCAAGUUUUUACACUACGCAAGAAUUUUGAACCUGCUUAAAAGCUUCUUUUGUCCGCCUGCUUUAGUCAGAUUCCCCAGUCCAUGGCAGAAACAGGACAUCAACAAAGAGGGGUGGGCUCCCUCCCCAACACUCCACUCCGCCCGCACGCCUCCUUUUCUUGUUGUCACUCAGAGAGAGAAACGCAAGGUCAACGAGCGGCGCGGCUGCAAAGUUAAAUCCCUAUUGGUCAGAUGCGCCAGAGCUGCCCGUCCGCUCAUUCUAGGCCGGGCUUCCCGGUAGACCCGCUGCGGCCUCCAGUCCCGCAGCCCGCAGCCUGCUAGGCGUUCUUAAAGGCGCCGCGCCCCCACUCAGACUCUCAGAAGGCUGCUCUUUGCAGACCUGCCUGGGAAGGGAGUCCGGGACCAGAAGGAGGAGGGGCUCUGGAGGCGGGGCCUCAGCCGGGGACAGCGGUUGCACCUGCUCCAGUCCCUCCCACAAGUUUCGGGUGCAGUUUCUCGUCUCACCGUCAGGGGGAAGGGCGUUCGUUUGACCGCGAAUAAUAAAUAAUGGCUAACAUUGAGUGUGUUGCGCAUGUCAGAGUCCUUCACUCGCUGCUCAGCACCGAACCUGCCCAAACCCUGUGAGGUAGGUAGGUGACACUUGCUUUUCCCACGCGACAGUGGAGCCUAAAGCUUAAAAUCCUAUUCCGGAUUCCCAUUUAGGGACAGACAGAGCAGAGAUUCAAACAGAUUUUAAGCCACCUGUCCUAGGAAGGGAGGACACCUCUUUUGUUUAUUUUUAGUUUUCUUUUUUCUUUUUAAAAAAACACAAUCUCUCUGUGUAGCCAUGGAAGUCACUAUGUAGACCAGGCUGAUCUGGAACUCACAAAGAUCCACCUGUUUUUGCUGGGAUCUAAGGCAUAUGCCACUACAAUGGGCGUUGUAGGGCUUUGUAUGGCUUAGUCAAUCUAGACAACAAACUCCAGCUCCAGCCCUCUGACUGUUGUUAUUGCACUUUUGACUCAAGUUCUCUGGGGCUUAGCUGGCCUUGAUUGUGCAGCAAUUCGCCUGCUUCUGAUUCCCCAUUGCCGGGACGGUAAAUCAUGUGCUAUCAUAUCCGGUUCAUGACCACCUUUUACCCAAAGAUACAUCAGGAGGUCGUGUGGUUCCGGACAGGUGUUUGGUGAAGAGGUGAAAGUCUCACCCCAGCCCUCUACCAGCUACCAAAGGUUUCCAUGCAUACGUGUUUCUUUGUGGACGCCAUGGGACAUAACUGCUUCUGCACAGACCCAAAUCCAUUCUUUCCCCCAAACACUUCCCUGACAGGUGGGCCUGUCAUACGGACUUUUUUCAGUGCGAACAUAAGGCCUUCCAUUAAGCUGAGCGGGAUUCUGCGCAGGGGCUUGUCUAGGUGUGUUUUUUACCGCACGGGUUUAAUUCUAAGCAGGUGUUCUGAUUACUCUGACUACAAGUCCACAUUGUGUAUCUUUCUACGAAACUAGUCCUGUACAAGUUGAUUGAUUGACUAUGGGAUAAAGAAGGAACCCAGGGUCUCAGGCAUGCUGAAUUCAUAGCUGAGAAAAGGGCGAUGCCGUCACUAAGACAUUCUUGGCAGGUGACCUUCACUAGGUGAUUCUAGGCAAGGUUUCUGGCCCUGAGCCACGCUCCCAGCCAUUUUACUUUUGAAAUAGGAUUUGCUCAGGCUGGCCUUGAACUUGUGAUCCUCUGGCCUCCGCCUCCAGAAUACACUUAGGAUUCAGGUUAGCAUUACCAGAUCUGACGUCAGUAUGAAUCAGUGUUACCCAUCGGAGACCGCCCUUUACAGGUGUGUAUCUUUCUGGAGUGUCGCCACGCCCCCUGCGUCUGCACACCUGUGCCACAGAGGGACCCCAGCUGUGCAGUCCUUUCACCUGCUCGCUUCCGCCCUCCGCGCAGCUCCUUGUCGCAAUGGGGUUCCCGUUACAGGUGCUCUGGCGGCGCGGCCCCGCCCUCUUCGCCCCGCCCCUCUCAGCCAGGCUCAGGUGCACAAGCCGGAAGUGCGCUCUUUGCCUAGGUCCUGGGUCGCAGGUGCCCUCCUCGACCCAAGAUGCGGUAGGAAUUGGAGCCCUGGGGAAGUCCUGUCCUUGGCGCCACCAACUCGUCGCCCAAGCUCAUGGCGACCCCAGGCCUGGGGCUGCUCUUGGCGUUUGGCUUGCCGAUGCUGCCCUCCGGCUGGAGCCAAGAAACACCAGACUCUUUCACAAAUAGCACAACUCAACCCCCAGAUGGCGGCGGGUCCAACGGGGGCUUGUCCUCAGAGGCCAUCGUGGCCAUCACUGUGGUCUUUUCCAUUCUGGGAACCCUCCUCAUAGCAGUGGGGCUAUUCCUGCUAAUGAGAAAACUUCGAGAAAAGCGGCAGACAGAGGGCACCUACCGGCCCAGCAGUGAGGAGCAGGUGGGUGCCCGUGCUCCACCACCCCCCAACCUCAAGCUGCCCCCGGAGGAGCGGCUCAUCUGAAUUUAGGGGUGUUGGCCAUAGGCCAUCAUCACGACCAACGCCCAGGACUGCCUUGGCACACCGAGACACACAGCAGCCACCUUGGAGACAACAGCCUCUGAUGACUCAGGAGGACUUGGCUUGGGGAACCCUGGGGCAUCCAGCUGUUUUCCCACGCAGCAGCUGAGGCCCGGGCCCCCCAGGACUCCAAGGAGCCAGUGCGGGGCUGCCUGCCCAUCUAGCUCCUCCCCUCCUUCCCUGUCAUCCAUCUUCCCUUCCUGGCUGUGUGACCUUGUGGAAGGCUUGGGCAGUCAGACUCAUACAAUACUCAAUAGAAGGGGAGAGAGUUCUUCAGAGA